UACAGAGGUCCCAAGCGUUGUUCGGAUUCACUGGGCGUAAAGGGUGCGUAGGCGGUCGGGUAAGUCUGAUGUGAAAUCUCACAGCUUAACUGUGAAACUGCAUUGGAUACUAUCCGGCUCGAGGAAUGGAGGGGAGACUGGAAUACUUGGUGUAGCAGUGAAAUGCGUAGAUAUCAAGGGGAACACCAGUGGCGAAGGCGAGUCUCUGGACAUUUCCUGACGCUGAGGCACGAAAGCCAGGGGAGCAAACGGG
RNAcentral lists this ribosomal RNA (253 nucleotides) under uncultured bacterium. RNAcentral's name for it is "partial 16S ribosomal RNA". It matches the Rfam family "Bacterial small subunit ribosomal RNA", at positions 524 to 776 of the family's 1533-position model. The record is from RNAcentral.